UCAACAACAUCAACCGGCGCCUGCCAGUCCAGAAGUCUAUCUGUGACAUCGACAGCGCCGAGGAGGCGCUUGUUGGACCUGAAGAGAUAUCCAUCGUGUAAUCGCGAGAUUCUUGAUCGUGACAUACCUGUGCGCGUGGGUUGAAAAAAAAGAAAGACCAGACAAGCAACCGGGUAUACACUUCGAGAAAUGUGCGUUUCUUAUUUUCUUUCGAUCUGUGACUGAAGUCUUAAGCACAUCUUUAAUCUCGUCUAUGUGUAUAUAGCGUUUAGUUCUUCCAUAUUUUUUUCUUAUGUAUAUGUAUAGAUUUGUUAAGAGCUACGGCAAAAAAAA
Apis dorsata (giant honeybee) is the source of this 333-nucleotide long non-coding RNA. RefSeq lists it as uncharacterized. The transcript has 2 exons. NCBI's taxonomy places the organism in Eukaryota, Metazoa, Arthropoda, Insecta, Hymenoptera, Apidae. The record is from RefSeq and is a predicted model, not a curated record.